RNAcentral lists this ribosomal RNA (497 nucleotides) under uncultured bacterium. Its description in RNAcentral is "partial 16S ribosomal RNA". It matches the Rfam family "Bacterial small subunit ribosomal RNA", at positions 28 to 507 of the family's 1533-position model. The record is from RNAcentral.
GAUGAACGCUGGCGGCGUGCCUAAUACAUGCAAGUCGAGCGAACAGAUGAGGAGCUUGCUCCUCUGACGUUAGCGGCGGACGGGUGAGUAACACGUGGAUAACCUACCUAUAAGACUGGGAUAACUACGGGAAACCGGAGCUAAUACCGGAUAAUAUAUUGAACCGCAUGGUUCAAUAGUGAAAGACGGUUUUGCUGUCACUUAUAGAUGGAUCCGCGCCGCAUUAGCUAGUUGGUAAGGUAACGGCUUACCAAGGCAACGAUGCGUAGCCGACCUGAGAGGGUGAUCGGCCACACUGGAACUGAGACACGGUCCAGACUCCUACGGGAGGCAGCAGUAGGGAAUCUUCCGCAAUGGGCGAAAGCCUGACGGAGCAACGCCGCGUGAGUGAUGAAGGUCUUCGGAUCGUAAAACUCUGUUAUUAGGGAAGAACAAAUGUGUAAGUAACUAUGCACGCCUUGACGGUACCUAAUCAGAAAGCCACGGCUAACUACGUG